This 400-nucleotide long non-coding RNA is filed under the name Homo sapiens (human). RNAcentral's name for it is "HSALNT0228003". Lineage: Eukaryota; Metazoa; Chordata; Mammalia; Primates; Hominidae. The record is from RNAcentral.
GAGGCUGGAAGCAGAGGGUGGAAUGCAUGCUUUGAAGGUGGAGCCACCUGCUUUGUAGGGGUCCUGUAGCAUCUGGAAAAGACAAGGACUCAGAUUCUCCCUCAGAACCCCCUGGAGGAACCAAGCUCUACUGACACCUUGAUUUUAGACGUCGGACCUCUGGAACGGCAGCAUAAACACCCUUGAGAUCAUCCAAGUAGUGGCGAGUAUCGGCAGCUCAUUCGUCUUAUUGCUCAGUGGUGUUCCGCGGUGUGGAGGGGCCACGGUUUGCUGAACCGGUCGACUAUCGAGAGGCAUCUGCGCUGUUUCCAAUUUGGAGCUGUUAUGAAUAAAGCUGCUACAGGUUUCCAUGUGGACAUCAGCUUUCAUUUCUCUGGGAUAAAUGCCCAGGAGUGUGAUU